This 274-nucleotide ribosomal RNA is filed under the name uncultured bacterium. RNAcentral describes it as "partial 16S ribosomal RNA". It matches the Rfam family "Bacterial small subunit ribosomal RNA", at positions 523 to 796 of the family's 1533-position model. The record is from RNAcentral.
AUACGGAGGGGGCUAGCGUUGUUCGGAAUUACUGGGCGUAAAGCGCACGUAGGCGGAUUGGACAGUUGGGGGUGAAAGCCCGAGGCUUAACCUCGGAACUGCCCCCAAUACUGCCAGUCUUGAGUCCGGGAGAGGUGAGUGGAAUUCCUAGUGUAGAGGUGAAAUUCGUAGAUAUUAGGAAGAACACCAGUGGCGAAGGCGGCUCACUGGCCCGGUACUGACGCUGAGGUGCGAAAGCGUGGGGAGCAAACAGGAUUAAAAACCCGGGUAGUCC